UAAAGUUAAUUCAAACCAAAACUGCCAAGCGUUGUGAAUCCCUCUUAAAUGCUUUGUUAGUUGCCAAACCUAAAGCUUUGAUUUGAAGCCGAUUGCCGUUUUGCCAACACUUGCUUUACGUGUUUUGGUAGACUCAAAUCAGGCGCAGUUUCAAAGCGCCUGUCACUGAAACCACUUGGAACACGCAACGCCGUAGAAAACGAACCAACAACACCAAAAAGCUCUUUUAGACAGACACUGUCACCUAGCAGACUUUCAACAAAUAAAUCGGUUUCUGAAACAGAAAAUUCAACCACAAAAGAAACCUGAGAACGAUUUUCACGAACCCGAACGAUUCAAAAUUUAAGUACGAAACGCCACCAAAAAUACACUGGCUUUAACUCUAAACAUUCUGCUUUAGCUGCGUUUUCCUCAUUGGCAACUAACGCCCUGUUAAGGGGUGAGCAACGCAAUACAAAAGCCGCCGCAUACCACCUUAAACACUAAAAUCAACGCAUAGUAAAAAUGCCACGCGUUGCGAAUCCCUCUUGAACAGUUUGUUAUGUGCGUACUAAACGUUACCAGUGUUAGAGGAAUUGAAAGAAAACAUCCGAACUUCGUCGCGAGGAAACCAACCUAAUUUUUCGUAGAAAGACUGCGCAUUAAUGUUUUCAUUUGCGACGAAUAGAUGCGUUUUGGCUAUGCCUACUUUUGAUAGAGCUUCCACUGCUGACGAUAUGAGCUUUGCACCAACGCCUUUACCUCGAAAAGUUGAAUCAACAGCCAAAUGCUGCACAUACCCUCGACGACCAUCAGUCCCAACUAAAAUAGCACCAAUAAUAUUGUCACCAUCCAAUGCGACGAAACUAAGGUUUGGAUUGCGUUUUAGGUACUUACCUAUGUUUUCCUUUGAAUCUGCAUCUCGCAGCAACAUCGCUUCUGUUGUUGACCACAAGUCGAUUACUUGCGAGUAAUCUGAGAUAUCCAUUUCUCUUAUCACUACCGAUUUUCCUCCAAGCACAUAACGCCCUGUUAAGGUGUGAGCAACGCAAUACCUAAGUUCCCGCAGACCACCAUAAACACAAAACGCAACGCAUAGCAAAAAUGCCAAGCGUUGCGAAUCACUCUUAAACAGAUUGUUAGGCAAAUUCAGGGAGCGCGAUAAAUGUGUCGCGAGCCAUAUUUCCGAUGGUAUUGGUUGUUACUGAGUCAAAGGUAGCUCCAACGAUACCUCCGACCAACGGAAUUGCUUUACCUAAAUUUAUAGCCCCUUUUUCCCCAAACUUAGUUAGUAACCUAAAACCUACAGCCUGAUUAAUUUUAGUUAUUGUUUUCCCACUAAUACUCUUAAUCGCAUUUUCUGUAAGCUUUCUACCAACUACAAUACCUAUAUCUUUGAGGAUAUCUUUAGCCGCAUUGCCAGUCAGACAUGCAUAAACCAUCGCUUUGACACGAUCGUCUUUCAAGUCGUGCCCCCCCAUAUGAGCAAUUGCAGCUAUCAUUCGGAUUUGUACGUACAUAACGCUCGUUAUGUUGGCUGGUAAAGUUACUGGCAUUGUUAUCAAACCACCUAACCCCGUGAGGAAGCCUGAAGUGCCUGCUUUUGUAUUUUGCCAACGAAUUAAUGAGUUUGCUUGGCUUAUUGGAUCACUUGAUUCUUUCAUGUAGCUCAAUGCUAGUUCUUGGGCAGAAUCUAAACCAGCUACACCGUUGAUCGCCUUGUCGUAUGCCCAAUCUAGGGCCUGCAUUAUCUUAUUUUCAGUUAAUUCUUGAGACACCUUUUGUAACCUCAGGUUUAUUAGCAAUUAUUCAUGUGAAAAAUACCAUACGAUAAAUACAGAAGCAUAAAAUCAAAGAUGAAAAAUGUGAUUUGUAGCAUAUGAUUGAAUAUGCCUAACGCCCUGUUAAGGUGUGAGGCACGCAAUACCGAAGCCUCCGCAUACCACCUUAACCACUAAAACCAACGCACAGUAAAAAUGCCACGCG
This 1965-nucleotide ribosomal RNA is filed under the name Vibrio parahaemolyticus EKP-021. RNAcentral's name for it is "partial 23S ribosomal RNA". Lineage: Bacteria; Pseudomonadati; Pseudomonadota; Gammaproteobacteria; Vibrionales; Vibrionaceae. The record is from RNAcentral.